GAUUAACGCUAGCGGCAGGCCUAAUACAUGCAAGUCGAACGGUAACAGGUGUAGCAAUACAUGCUGACGAGUGGCGCACGGGUGCGUAACACGUAUGCAACCUACCUAUAACUGGGGAAUAGCCUUCCGAAAGGAAGAUUAACACCGCAUAACAUCACGAAACGGCAUCGUUUUGUGAUCAAACCUCCGGGGGUUAUAGAUGGGCAUGCGUAACAUUAGCUAGUUGGUGAGGUAAUGGCUCACCAAGGCUACGAUGUUUAGGGGGUCUGAGAGGAUGAUCCCCCACACUGGUACUGAGACACGGACCAGACUCCUACGGGAGGCAGCAGUAAGGAAUAUUGGACAAUGGGGGCAACCCUGAUCCAGCCAUGCCGCGUGAAGGAUGAAGGCCCUCUGGGUUGUAAACUUCUUUUGUACGGGAAUAAACCCCUUUACGUGUAGAGGGUUGAAUGUACCGUAAGAAUAAGGAUCGGCUAACUUCGUGCCAGCCGCCGCGGUAA
Molecule: ribosomal RNA, 500 nt
Filed under: uncultured bacterium
Lineage: Bacteria
Description: partial 16S ribosomal RNA
Rfam family: Bacterial small subunit ribosomal RNA
Source: RNAcentral